This 788-nucleotide long non-coding RNA is filed under the name Lathyrus oleraceus (garden pea). RNAcentral's name for it is "Pisum sativum (pea) long non-coding RNA (PSAT_LNC001018)". The record is from RNAcentral. Lineage: Eukaryota; Viridiplantae; Streptophyta; Magnoliopsida; Fabales; Fabaceae.
AAACUACUACUAACACAAUAGUUUUUAAUACAUUCUCAAAGGGCAUCAGAUUUAUAUUAUGAUGCUUUACACAAAUCUUUUGAUUCAUAUUUCUACUUUGGCAGGUCCCCCCCACAAGUGUACCUGUAAUUGUAAGAGAAUAUGGGAGAGAACAGGUCUGGAUAUAAAUUAUUCAAAUGCAAAGGCCUGGUAGGAAUGGGUUGUAAGAGAAAAUGGGAGAGAACAGGUGUGGCUAUAAAUGAUGCAAAGGCAAAGACCUGGUAGGAAUGGAUUGUAAGAGAACAUGAAAAUGAACAGGUCUGCAUAUAAAUUAUGCAACGCGAAUGCCUGGUAGGAAUAAGUUUUGAAAUUAUUGUAAUUCAUGUUUAUCGAUUAUUUCCAUAUUGGAAUUAUGCGCCUCUUUGUUAGGAAAUUUUAGACAUUUCUAUAUUCAACUGUCCUAGCGAAGAGAGCAAACAUUUUGCCUCUCCAGGCAGAUUUAGCUAUGUAUUUUCACUCACAACAGUUCUUCUUUCCCUUCUAUUGUUUUUCAAGUUUUGGAUAAGUUGUCUCACAAUUUUUAGCUUGUCAAGUUUUACUUAUACUUAGCUUCGACCCUGAUUCUUGCCCUUUAAUUAUGUAAACCAUUCCCGGAAAGUGCUGGUGAAGGUAUAACUGAAAAAUAUAUUGUGAUUGAUGUAAUUAAAAAAGGGUUACUUGAAAUUUGAAUACAUUAACCCCAGCAUUUCUAAAUUUUUUGGGUGACUAAACCACAUCUAGUAAAUGGUAUAAUUAGGAUGCUUUGUUAC